GUGCGAACAGGUGAGGAAACCCGAGAGCUAAGUUUUGGGGCGGGGCUGGAGUCGUAUUAGGUCGAAGGUGGUAUAAAAGACCACCUUGCCCAGGAUGCGUGGCUUUAAACUGGAAGCCAUCUUUUCACUGAAGCAAAGGGAGGGCUCAAAAAGGGAGCGAAAAGCUCCUGAGGCAGCAGUAUAUAACUUUAUGCAAUGUACGAAAGUGCGACAUAGAAGGGGCGUAUAACUUAAUCUGUCUAAUUAAGUGCCAGCAGACGCGGUGAAACUUAAGGAUUAGUAUUAUAGGAAAAAGCGUAAAGGGUGUGAGGGGCUUAUCCCGACAAGAGGGUAAAUGGAAUUUUUCUGUAGGGGUAGAAUGUGUAGAUAGAAAAAAGAACUCUAAACGCGAAGGCAAUUUAUCUCAUGGGAGGUACGCCAACUGCUCCGUUGUUACACGAAAGUAUGGGGAGCAAACAGGAUUAGAGACCCUGGUAGUCUAUAUUGUAAAUAAUGAAGAAGAUGUGAGGCAAUCCUAAAGGGUAAUAAAUUUUUCGCUUGAGUAGUAUGAUCGCAAGAUUUAAAUUCAAAAAACUUGGCUGCUCACUGCUAUGAUCAGAGGAGCGCGUCGUUUAAUUCGAUAGUCCGCGAGAGACCUUACCCAAACUUGAAUUCGCCCUUUAACAGGUAUUGCAUGGCCGUCGUCAAUUUGUGUAUUAAAUGUAAAACGGAUUCAACCCAGUGGUUGGCAUCCCCUCGUCUUCGGAGCGGUGCCAUUAUUGGAUGAAGUCAGGUCUUAUUGUCCUAAUGUUUGGGGAUUAGAUGCGCUACAUUUUCUUAUACAAUGGGAGAUUUUGAAGGUGGAACCCUAAAGUAAGAGUUCGGGAGGUGGCUGGAAGAUAACUGAAAGUUGGAUUUGAUAGUAAUUAGAAAGUAGAGCGUUCUGGUGAAAUUGAUGCAGUGUUAGUACAAAUAGCCCGUCGCCUUGGUCAAGAAUGGUUAGUCAAACGC
This 990-nucleotide ribosomal RNA is filed under the name Rhodactis sp. BN-2014b. Its description in RNAcentral is "partial small subunit ribosomal RNA". It matches the Rfam family "Bacterial small subunit ribosomal RNA", at positions 186 to 1427 of the family's 1533-position model. Lineage: Eukaryota; Metazoa; Cnidaria; Anthozoa; Corallimorpharia; Discosomidae. The record is from RNAcentral. RNAcentral also lists the same sequence under 2 other names.